GUGGAUUAGAUACCCGGGUAGUCCACGCCGUAAACGAUGUCAACUAGCCGUUGGGAGUCUUGAACUCUUAGUGGCGCAGCUAACGCAUUAAGUUGACCGCCUGGGGAGUACGGCCGCAAGGUUAAAACUCAAAUGAAUUGACGGGGGCCCGCACAAGCGGUGGAGCAUGUGGUUUAAUUCGAAGCAACGCGAAGAACCUUACCAGGCCUUGACAUCCAAUGAACUUUCUAGAGAUAGAUUGGUGCCUUCGGGAACAUUGAGACAGGUGCUGCACGGUCGUCGCCAGCU
Molecule: ribosomal RNA, 288 nt
Filed under: uncultured bacterium
Lineage: Bacteria
Description: partial 16S ribosomal RNA
Rfam family: Bacterial small subunit ribosomal RNA
Source: RNAcentral